CUCGUAGGUGGCCAACUAAGUCAGACGUGAAAUCCCUCAGCUUAACUGGGGAACUGCGUCUGAUACUGGAUGGCUUGAGUUUGGGAGAGGGAUGCGGAAUUCCAGGUGUAGCGGUGAAAUGCGUAGAUAUCUGGAGGAACACCGGUGGCGAAGGCGGCAUCCUGGACCAACACUGACACUGAGGAAGCGAAAGCCAGGGAAGCAA
RNAcentral lists this ribosomal RNA (205 nucleotides) under uncultured bacterium. RNAcentral describes it as "partial 16S ribosomal RNA". It matches the Rfam family "Bacterial small subunit ribosomal RNA", at positions 568 to 771 of the family's 1533-position model. The record is from RNAcentral.